RNAcentral lists this ribosomal RNA (411 nucleotides) under uncultured Pseudonocardia sp. Its description in RNAcentral is "bacterial SSU rRNA". It matches the Rfam family "Bacterial small subunit ribosomal RNA", at positions 354 to 776 of the family's 1533-position model. The record is from RNAcentral. Lineage: Bacteria; Bacillati; Actinomycetota; Actinomycetes; Pseudonocardiales; Pseudonocardiaceae.
GUGGGGAAUAUUGCGCAAUGGGCGGAAGCCUGACGCAGCGACGCCGCGUGGGGGAUGACGGCCUUCGGGUUGUAAACCUCUUUCGCCAGGGACGAAGCUUUUGUGACGGUACCUGGAGAAGAAGCACCGGCCAACUACGUGCCAGCAGCCGCGGUAACACGUAGGGUGCGAGCGUUGUCCGGAAUUAUUGGGCGUAAAGAGCUCGUAGGCGGUGUGUCGCGUCGGCCGUGAAAACUUGGGGCUUAACGCUGAGCGUGCGGUCGAUACGGGCAUCACUUGAGUUCGGCAGGGGAGACUGGAAUUCCUGGUGUAGCGGUGAAAUGCGCAGAUAUCAGGAGGAACACCGGUGGCGAAGGCGGGUCUCUGGGCCGAUACUGACGCUGAGGAGCGAAAGCAUGGGGAGCGAACAGG